GUAGUUUCAGAACUCCUAUCCACUACCACUGAGAAAAGUACAUCUAAUAAAAUUGGAAUGAUACAGAGAUUAGCAUGGUCCUUGCACAAGGAUGACAUGGAAUACUUGUUUUUUGUUCUU
RNAcentral lists this small nuclear RNA (120 nucleotides) under Vulpes vulpes (red fox). The record is from RNAcentral. Lineage: Eukaryota; Metazoa; Chordata; Mammalia; Carnivora; Canidae.